GGCUAGAGCAGGAUGUGGGGCUUUCAAGGGCUCCAGCAUAUUGUUGAGGAUUGGAUGGGAGAGGAAAGAGCAGAGGGAGAUCUGUAUCCAGAAGAGGCAUGGCUCCAUCCUCAGAAGGUGAUACCAACAAGCUUUGCAGGAGACUCUUCUGGGAACUCUCAUCUUUGCAACUGGCAGGCUAUUGUGCCAGCUGCCUGCUCCCCCAACUUGCUCUGUCUAGUCUCUGGCAGUGAAUCUGCAGACUUAAAAUUCCAUUUUCCAUGCCUUUGGCCCUGAAGGAGGCUUUGGGCUGCAGGUAGAGGAAACACAGCAGUUCCCUCUACUUGGAAAAGGGUGGUUCCCCGUUAUAACAGGCCUGCCGAUUCUCAACAUGUUCCUGAUGAGAUUAGAAGCUCCUGCAGGUGAAUCUGCCCAGCACUAUCUGGGGUGAAUGGACAUCUCUUAAAGAAAGCACAGUGCAGUGAAGGACUGGACCCCACUUCUCUGGAACAUACCCAAAUUGUGAGGCCAUAGAUUGCCUUGCUAAGAGCUCAUGUCUCUGCAGCACCCGCUGCACAGCCAAGUGUAAGAAGAGCAGAUUGUUGCCAGGUGGUGGACUCACUCUGCCCCACUGAUGGACCAGAUCCUCUAAGCUGGCAAGGCAGCAUGAACCAGGCUGGGAAAGUGGGUCAUAUCACUGAUUCUGUAAGGAUCUCUAGGCCA
This 702-nucleotide long non-coding RNA is filed under the name Cricetulus griseus (Chinese hamster). RNAcentral's name for it is "lncRNA (ENSCGRG00015034563.1)". Lineage: Eukaryota; Metazoa; Chordata; Mammalia; Rodentia; Cricetidae. The record is from RNAcentral.